AUACGGAGGACGCGAGCGUUAUCCGGAUUCAUUGGGUUUAAAGGGUGCGCAGGCGGCCGUGCAAGUCAGCGGUGAAAGCCCGGGGCUCAACCCCGGAAGUGCCGUUGAUACUGCAUGGCUGGAAUGCGGUCGAGGCGGGCGGGACGGGGCGGGUAGCGGGGGAAUGCGUAGAUAUGCCACAGAACGCCGAUAGCGGAGGCAGCUCGCCAGGCCUGCAUUGACGCUCGGGCACGAAAGCGUGGGGAUCGAACAGGAUUAGAUACCCUGGUAGUCCACGCCGUAAACGAUGGGCGCUCGUCGUCGGCGGCAGACAGUCGGCGGCCAAGCGAAAGCGAUAAGCGCCCCACCUGGGGAGUACGGUCGCAAGGCUGAAACUCAAAUGAAUUGACGGGG
This 393-nucleotide ribosomal RNA is filed under the name uncultured bacterium. RNAcentral's name for it is "partial 16S ribosomal RNA". It matches the Rfam family "Bacterial small subunit ribosomal RNA", at positions 523 to 918 of the family's 1533-position model. The record is from RNAcentral.